Molecule: ribosomal RNA, 402 nt
Filed under: uncultured beta proteobacterium
Lineage: Bacteria; Pseudomonadati; Pseudomonadota; Betaproteobacteria
Description: bacterial SSU rRNA
Rfam family: Bacterial small subunit ribosomal RNA
Source: RNAcentral
GAGUUUGAUCCUGGCUCAGAUUGAACGCUGGCGGCAUGCCUUACACAUGCAAGUCGAGCGGCAGCGCGGGGGCAACCCUGGCGGCGAGCGGCGAACGGGUGAGUAAUACAUCGGAACGUGUCCUGUCGUGGGGGAUAACCAGUCGAAAGAUUGGCUAAUACCGCAUGACCUCGUAAGAGAAAAAGCGGGGGACCGUAAGGCCUCGCGCGACUGGAGCGGCCGAUGUCGGAUUAGCUAGUUGGCGGGGUAAAAGCCCACCAAGGCGACGAUCCGUAGCUGGUUUGAGAGAACGACCAGCCACACUGGGACUGAGACACGGCCCAGACUCCUACGGGAGGCAGCAGUGGGGAAUUUUGGACAAUGGGGGCAACUCUGAUCCAGCCAUGCCGCGUGUGUGAAGAA